GCCUAUCUAGUAUAUAUCAAGUACAGUAAGUUUCCAACUUAAAGGAUCAAUUGAGUUAGGUA
RNAcentral lists this transfer RNA (62 nucleotides) under Proasellus cavaticus. Its description in RNAcentral is "transfert RNA-G(GGA)". The record is from RNAcentral. Lineage: Eukaryota; Metazoa; Arthropoda; Malacostraca; Isopoda; Asellidae.